CAGAUUGUGAUAGGUUUUGCUUCUUGUGCAAUUUAUGAGAUUUGUUAAUCUUUGAAUAUUGAUAAGUUUGGAGCUCAAUGAAUCUAACUUAUGCACAUGUCUUAACAAUUUGUUGCCAGCAGCAGGGUGAUGAAAUUUAAGAAGUACUUGAGUUUCUAAGAAUCUCUUCCUCCUUUGUAAACCCUAAUGGAAGACUAUCGCCAGUUGUUGGUCUUCAUUUUCUUUUUUUGUUUCUUAUUUGGUUUUC
RNAcentral lists this long non-coding RNA (247 nucleotides) under Prunus persica (peach). Its description in RNAcentral is "long non-coding RNA (PPER_LNC008013)". Lineage: Eukaryota; Viridiplantae; Streptophyta; Magnoliopsida; Rosales; Rosaceae. The record is from RNAcentral.